UCCCUGGUGGCCUAGGGGGUUAAGGAUCUGGCACUGUCACUGCUGUGGCGCAGGUUCAAUUCCUGGCUUGGGAA
Molecule: transfer RNA, 74 nt
Filed under: Sus scrofa (pig)
Lineage: Eukaryota; Metazoa; Chordata; Mammalia; Artiodactyla; Suidae
Rfam family: tRNA
About the family: Transfer RNA (tRNA) molecules are approximately 80 nucleotides in length. Their secondary structure includes four short double-helical elements and three loops (D, anti-codon, and T loops). Further hydrogen bonds mediate the characteristic L-shaped molecular structure. tRNAs have two regions of fundamental functional importance: the anti-codon, which is responsible for specific mRNA codon recognition, and the 3' end, to which the tRNAs corresponding amino acid is attached (by aminoacyl-tRNA synthetases). tRNAs cope with the degeneracy of the genetic code in two manners: having more than one tRNA (with a specific anti-codon) for a particular amino acid; and 'wobble' base-pairing, i.e. permitting non-standard base-pairing at the 3rd anti-codon position.
Source: Rfam by way of RNAcentral